CCCGACUACCCAAUCAGUAAACUUUAUAAGCCGCUACCCCGGAAGCUAUCACAUUCCAUGACAGGAGAGCUGGAUUGAGACGCUACGGGAGCCAACUGCCAGUAUAACACGCCGCGAAUAAGCAGCAUAUUUGGUGCACUUAGUCGCAAUCGGCCAUAGGGAUUGAUGGCGAGCUAAGCCCGAACCUGAUCAAGCGCUGGAGCUCUCUGAAGGAAUCACCUCCUCCCUGUCGUUCAGCCCAGGCUGGUAGGAGGCUCCUGUAGCCUAAUGACUCAUUUAAUCAAUGCAACUGCAUUUCGUCCUACAACCCAGAGACACAAAGACUUUCAAUCACUUCCCAUCACUGAACACUAACCUCCGGAUUCAACUAUUUCUGUCUGGGUUGCAUGGACAAUACAUGAGCUGAUGAUAUUGAGUCGGAUACGACGGAUCACUCACUGAACCGUCCAUCUGUACAUAAUCUUUGUAAAGGAUAUCCUGGAAUAAUUUGAAAUAUUCUUUUGUAAUAUUGGUGUAUGGUGUAUGUUUAUGUGUGUGUCAAAAAAUACAUGGUACCAUUCAUAGCAAACCUACAGUCUCCAGUCUCUGCCUCCUCUCUCCCUGAGCCGUCCCUGUUCUUCUGACUCUAGUCCACGAUAGAUAUGCUACAAAAUUAGUGGCGAGCUAGCUAGGAGAGAGGUUUGGCAGAACUGUUGGUGUGGUGACGUAUCAUUGUAUUAUCACAGUAAAUCUACACGAGCAUGGAGGUAUUUGAGAAAUCUGGCAUUAAGAUUCCUAAUGCAGUGGUCAUUGAUGGGUUCACUAAAACAGAAACAGAUGAAGAAAUACUUGGGUUUUUGAGCAAAUAUGGUUCGAUUUCAAAGACUCACAUUAUUGAUGAGCCCGAUUCUGUGUUUAAUCAAAAGCUUAUUGUUGAGUUUAAUUCUGGCUUUGCAAUUGCUGCGCUCCGUAAAAUGUUGCCGCAUACUUACGUCAGCAAAGAUAAAACAAUCACAUACAAAGUUUCCGAGCUAUCAACUCUUUGCGCUGCCCAGGUUGAAGAAAAGGUGACUAAUGCUUACCUGUGUGAACUCCAAAC
Long non-coding RNA from Oryzias latipes (Japanese medaka), 1078 nucleotides. RefSeq lists it as uncharacterized. NCBI's taxonomy places the organism in Eukaryota, Metazoa, Chordata, Actinopteri, Beloniformes, Adrianichthyidae. The record is from RefSeq and is a predicted model, not a curated record.